RNAcentral lists this small RNA (7694 nucleotides) under Drosophila yakuba. RNAcentral's name for it is "GE28639". The stretch from base 1377 to 1463 matches the Rfam family "Heat shock gene hsromega conserved region 2". Lineage: Eukaryota; Metazoa; Arthropoda; Insecta; Diptera; Drosophilidae. The record is from RNAcentral.
CUGCCUCACAUGGGGCACGUCACUCUCAAUGGAAAAGUGUUCAAGUGCAGUCAGAGUGAAGCUGAAAGAAAAACCAACAACCAGUUAAAAAUAGUACAAAGAAAUUUUCUCUCUUGCGAUCUGCAAGCAGUAGCUGUAUCCGAAAAUGGAAAUGUGUAAAAAUUGUGUCCCAGCAGACGAGCAGCAGUGCGAUUAUUGCAAAAUGCAAGGGCAAGGGCCCACGUAGUAUUUUUCCACGUCGGGCAUUAUUGGCUCUCGAGUUGGAAACAAAGAAGUCAGACUGCAAACCCACUGGAAAAAUGUGAUUAGUCAUCAAUUUUGCUGGUCAGCGUCGGGGAAUUUCGCAAUGCGGGAAACAGUUUUCUUGAAUUUGGCUAGAAAGUGAUACACUAGGCAGUCUGAGGCAGUUAUCCAGGAUGUCAGGACGUGCAGUACUCUGUGUCGAAUGGCGAUGGCCCUGACCUGCGGAUUUUGAAAGCUUACGAUAGGAAGCCAGGUAUACAUACACAGCAACGAAUGCAGCGUGUUCGAUAUUCUUAAUUCGUAAGCCCAACCUAUGUUUAAGACGUAGUCUAUAACCGAAUGUAGCGAAAUACGUUUUUAAACGUCGCAUCAAAGCCAUUUAUUCUGAAGCCUUUGCAAUUUCAUCAUGUUGCGUAAUCGCGAAUUGUAAAUGUUUCCCUACUAUUUUACAUUGUAUGUGUAUAUCUGUAUUCAAGUCGAAAAUGCUCGAACUAUUCUCGUCCGCAACCCCCCCGGAUCGAACGGCCACCAACUGCCUCGCUCUCUUUAUAAACAGCGUACUCAUACGCCCCGUUUACAAUCGCCUCUCUACCAUUCGGGUAUACACAUUUUAUAUAUAUAUUUAUAUAUAUAUAUAUACACUUAAAGUGUACAACGGUAGCUGCGCACCGACCUCUUUACUUGCCUUUCCUCAGUUUUGCUUCCCGAUACUUAUAUAUGUAUGUAUGUAUGUAUAAGGUGUUUUUCAGCGGAAAUGUCGGCAGCCUGACUUUGUCCCAUCACGUCUCUGUCGCUUCUUUUGGCUAUUUAAUCUACAUAGAUCCUAGUCGACUUAACAUUUAUCUAGCUGUUAAUCUUAUUUGUAACCAUCUCUAUAUGCUACCUGCCAUACCACUUAACCAAGCAAUAUGUAUUUCUUUCUCUAAACUUUAUAGUUGGGCGUUGAAAGUUGAUAUCGAUAUCGAUCCGUGAAAAGUCGAUACCCUGCGCAAGCAUGGGGCGGCAUAUGGGUGCUGAAAGUGCACUCGGCCCGAUCCAGAUUGCAGCGUUAUUCAAAAGCUGAGUCUGCGACCGUGACUGAGAUCAUAUGCGUAUAUAUAUCUAAUGUCCGGGGUCGUAGGCCAGCCAGGGUGCUCAAUUCGGUCAGAUUGAUUGUGCGGAUUGUGUUAUAGGAACACUGGUGUAUCGACUUCUCUGCUCCACUAUGGGUGAAGGAUACCCUCCCGAAAAGGCCUUCUGUCGCUUACUAUCACCGAACAAGUUCCGUAACGGGCAGACAUACGUAAACGUGGCAGCACAUUCCGUUCAAUGACACAUCGUCUCUGGAUUAGUAAUUGAACCAACGAGCACGAAUAUACCCUGCCAGUUGGUUGUAAAUAUUAAUUUUGUUCUUUUGUUCAGUUGUAAAAUCAAUACGGAAUACAUUUCCACACCAACCAUGUGUCACUUAUGUUCUUAAAUACCUGAAACUGUUUAAAUUUUUGUUCUUAUACACUUCACAAAUUAAGAAUUAACUGUACUGAUGUAAGUGUACCUAUUGAAGCACAACAAAAAUAGAAAAAAUGAAAAAUUAUUAACAAAAGAGCUCUAUACUAGAAAAGCCACAGAAGAAGUAAAUAAAAAAUUCCAAAAUUCAACAAAUAAAUCUCGAAACAUUUGCUCGUGAUAUUUUUAUUUCAAGAAAAGAUCCGAUUUCAGUUGUACCAUCUAGCUUAAAUGUAGCGUUGAAAGAAUACUCCUAGUCCCUCGGAGGAAGGGCCCUUAUCAAGAUGCCAAUAGCGUUCGUCUCAUACACAAAUUACUCAGACGUUCUAGUGUCUACAAUUGAGGAAAGGGCUAUUGAUCUCAUUUGGGCGCUAAAAGUUUGUAUUGGAACGAGAUUGAAGGUUUAAAAUCAGCUGAAAAGUACGUAUAAAUAUUCCGCUUUAUUUUUCUCCACAUUUAUAGGACUUCAAAACUAUAUUUAUUGGACAAGUCAACGGAAGUUCUUUUGUUUGGAGUUCGCCAAUGACGUACACCGUUACACUUAUUCUUGCGCACAAGAUAAAAUUAUGUUUUGAUUGACAAAUAAACAUAUACGUUCUAAAUGAUUCGAUGUACUCAAUUAAUGUACCAAAGCAAAUUAUACAGGCGACUCGUGUUACAUUAAGAGAACUGCAGAAAUAUAUAGUUAUAUAGUUAUAUAGUUAUAUAUAGAUAUAGCAUAACAAAUAGAAAAUUUAAGGAUCUAAACGGUGUACUUUCAAUAAACCAUUCUGAUCUUUGAUCAUUUAAAUCUGCAAUGAAAAAUUGUAUUCAUUACAAGGUAUAAUACUUUUUAUACCACAGUAACAUGAAAAAUUCAAAAAGCCCAUAUAUUAUCUUUCGGAACCGCUUAGCCUAAUGGUCAAGUAAACUAAAAUUUAUAUACAAUAAUUUAUUUACAUAGGUAGUGUACGAUAUACAUACAUAUAACUGUCUUCCAAAAAUCGAGUUAUUUUGAAACUCUAAAAGAUCUUGCAAGGUCGGACCUAAAGGUCAACUUAAUAGGUAGGUAUAGAUCUUAAGGUAAAAUCAACUGAAAAUUGUAAAAUCCAUAUAGGUAGGGUGUGAUAUUAAUCUGUUCCCAUUCACGAUCUCGUUUCAUAAUCAACUACAAAAUAAGAAAAACUUGAAAGGUAGGAUUUAUGAAGAAUUCUAAUUGACUUAAUAGGUAGGAAUUGAACUUACGCUGUUUUUUAUAUGGUAUACGUCGGCAACUACAACAUAAGCCACAAUAAUAUGAACCCUUCAAUAUUAGGUAUGAUUUAUCUCUAUUACCCCAAACAUUAUCCGUCGAAAAGGCUUAGCCUCUUGGUAAAAUCAACUUAAAAUUGUAAAAUCCAUAUAGGUUGGAUGUGAUAUUUAACUGUUCCCAUACAUGAUCGCGUUUCAUAAUCAACUACAAAAUAAGAAAAUCUUCAAAGGUAGGAUUUAUGAAGAAUUCUAAUUGACUUAAUAGGUAGAAAUUGAACUUACGCUGUUUUUUAUAUGGUAUACGUCGGCAACUACAACAUAAGCCACAAUAAUAUGAACCCUUCAAUAUUAGGUAUGAUUUAUCUCUAUUACCCCAAACAUUAUCCGUCGAAAAGGCUUAGCCUCUUGGUAAAAUCAACUUAAAAUUGUAAAAUCCAUAUAGGUUGGAUGUGAUAUUUAACUGUUCCCAUACAUGAUCGCGUUUCAUAAUCAACUACAAAAUAAGAAAAUCUUCAAAGGUAGGAUUUAUGAAGAAUUCUAAUUGACUUAAUAGGUAGAAAUUGAACUUACGCUGUUUUUUAUAUGGUAUACGUCGGCAACUACAACAUAAACCACAAUAUUAUGAUCCCUUUAAUAAUAGGUAUGAUUUAUCUCUAUUACCCCAGUAAUAAUCAGUCGAAAGGGCUUAUCAUCUCGGUAAAAUCAACCCAAAAUUGUAAAAUCCAUAUAGGUAGAGGUGAUGUUAAACCGUUCCCAUUCACGAUACUUCAGCAACUACAACAUAAACGACAAAAAUAUGAACCCUUCAAUAAUAAGUAUAAUUUAACUCGAUUACCCCAAACAUAAUCAGUCAAAAAGCCUUUGCCUCUUGGUAAAAUCAACUUAAAAUUGUAAAAUCCAUAUAGGUUGGAUGUGAUAUUUAACUGUUCCCAUACAUGAUCGCGUUUCAUAAUCAACUACAAAAUAAGAAAAACUUGAAAGGUAGGAUUUAUGAAGAAUUCUAAUUGAAUUAAUAGGUAGGAAUUGAACUUACGCUGUUUUUUAUAUGGUAUACGUCGGCAACUACAACAAAAGCCACAAUAAUAUGAACCCUUCAAUUUUAGGAAUGAUUUAUCUCUAUUACCCCAAACAUUAUCAGUCGAAAAGCUUAGCCUCUUGGUAAAAUCAACUCAAAAUUGUAAAAUCCAUAUAGGUAGGAUGUGUUAUUACACUGUUCCCAUAAACGAUCGCGUUUCAUUAUCAACUACAAAAUAAGAAAAACUUGAAAGGUAGGAUCUUGAAGAAUUCUUAUUGAUUUAAUAGGUAGGAAUUGAACUUACGCUGUUUUUUAUAUGGUAUACGUCGGCAACUACAACAAAAGCCACAAUAAUAUGAACCCUUCAAUUUUAGGAAUGAUUUAUCUCUAUUACCCCAAACAUAAUCAGUCGAAAAGCUUAGCCUCUUGGUAAAAUCAACUCAAAAUUGUAAAAUCCAUAUAGGUUGGAUGUGAUAUUUAACUGUUCCCAUACAUGAUCGCGUUUCAUAAUCAACUACAAAAUAAGAAAAACUUGAAAGGUAGGAUUUAUGAAGAGUUCUAAUUGACUUAAUAGGUAGGAAUUGAACUUACGCUGUUUUUUUAUAUGGUAUACGUCGGCAACUACAACAUAAACCACAAUAUUAUGAUCCCUUUAAUAAUAGGUAUGAUUUAUUUCUAUUACCCCAAAAAUAAUCAGUCGAAAGGGCUUAUCAUCUCGGUAAAAUCAACUCAAAAUUGUAAAAUCCAUAUAGGUAAAGGCGAUGUUAAACCGUUCCCAUUCACGAUACUUCAGCAACUACAACAUAAACCACAAAAAUAUGAACCCUUCAAUAAUAGGUCUAAUUUAUCGCUAUUACCCCAAACAUUAUCAGUCGAAAAGUCUUAGCCUUUUCGUUAAAUCAACUUUAAAUUGUAAAAUCCAUAUAAAUAGGGUGUGAUAUUAAACUGUUCCCAUUCACGAUCGCGUUUCAUAAUCAACUACAAAACAAGAAAAACUUGAAAGGUAGGAUUUAUAAAGAAUUCUAAUUGACUUAUUAGGUAGGAAUUGAACUUACGCUGUUUUUUAUAUGGUAUACGUCGGCAACUACAACAUAAGCCACAAUAAUAUGAACCCUUCAAUAUUAGGUAUGAUUUAUCUCUAUUACCCCAAACAUUAUCAGUCGAAAAGGCUUAGCCUCUUGGUAAAAUCAACUUAAAAUUGUAAAAUCCAUAUAGGUUGGAUGUGAUAUUUAACUGUUCCCAUACAUGAUCGCGUUUCAUAAUCAACUACAAAAUACGAAAAACUUGAAAGGUAGGAUUUAUGAAGAAUUCUAAUUGACUUAAUAGGUAGGAAUUGAACUUACGCUGUUUUUUAUAUGGUAUACGUCGGCAACUACAACAUAAGCCACAAUAAUAUGAACCCUUCAAUAUUAGGUAUGAUUUAUCUCUAUUACCCCAAACAUUAUCAGUCGAAAAGGCUUAGCCUCUUGGUGAUAUCAACUCAAAAUUGUAAAAUCCAUAUAGAUAGGAUGUGAUAUUAGUCUGUUCCCAUACUCGAUCGCAUUUCAUAAUCAAUUACAAAAUAAGAAAAACUUGAAAGGUAGGAUUUUUAAAGAAUUCUAAUUGACUUAAUAGGUAGGAAUUGAACAUACGCCGUUUUUUAUCUGAUAUACUUUGGCAACUACAACAUAAGCCACAAAAUUAUGAUCCCUUCAAUAUUAGGUAUGAUUUAUCUCUAUUACCCCAAACACUAUCAGUCGAAAAGGCUUAGCCUCUUGGUGAUAUCAACUCAAAAUUGUAAAAUCCAUAUAGAUAGGAUGUGAUAUUAGUCUGUUCCCAUACUCGAUCGCAUUUCAUAAUCAAUUACAAAAUAAGAAAAACUUGAAAGGUAGGAUUUUUAAAGAAUUCUAAUUGACUUAAUAGGUAGGAAUUUAAAAUACGCCGUUUUUUAUCUGAUAUACUUUGACAACUACAACAUAAGCCACAAAAUUAUGAUCCCUUCAAAAUUAGGUAUGAUUUAUCUCUAUUACCCCAAACACUAUCAGUCGAAAAGGCUUAGCCUCUUGGGAAAAUCAACUCAAAAUUGUAAAAUCCAAAUAGGUAGGGGUGAUACUAAACUGUUCCCGUUCACGAUAUUUUAGCAACUACAACAUAAGCAACAAAAAUAUGAACCCUUCAAUAAUAGGUAUAAUUUAUCUCUAUUACCCCAGUAAUAAUCAGUCGAAAGGGCUUAUCAUCUCGGUAAAAUCAACUCAAAAUUGUAAAAUCCAUAUAGGUAGGGGUGAUAUUGAACUGUUCCCUUUCACGAUACUUCAGGAACUGCAACAUAAACCGCAAUAAUAUGAACCCUUCAAUAAUAGGUAUGAUUUAUCUCUAUUACCCCAAACAUUAUCAGUCGAAAAUGCUUAGCCUCUUGGUAAAAUCAACUCAAAAUUGUAAAAUCCAUAUAGGUUGGAUGUGAUAUUUAACUGUUCCCAUACAUGAUCGCGUUUCAUAAUAAACUACAAAAUAAGAAAAACUUGAAAGGUAGGAUUUAUGAAGAAUUCUAAUUGACUUAAUAGGUAGGAAUUGAACUUACGCUGUUUUUUAAAUGGUAUACGUCGGCAACUACAACAUAAGCCACAAUAAUAUGAACCCUUCAAUAUUAGGUAUGAUUUAUCUCUAUUACCCCAAACAUUAUCAGUCGAAAAGGCUUAGCCUCUUGGUAAAAUUAACUUAAAAUUGUAAAAUCCAUAUAGGUUGGAUGUGAUAUUUAACUGUUCCCAUACAUGAUCGCGUUUCAUAAUCAACUACAAAAUAAGAAAAACCUAAAAGGUAGGACUUAUAAAUAAUUCUAAUUGACUUAUUAGGUAGGAAUUGAACUUACGCUGUUUUUGAUAUGGUAUACGUCGGCAACUACAACAUAAGCCACAAUAAUAGGUAUAAUUUAACUCGAUUAUCCCAAACAUAAUCAGUCGAAAAGCCUUAGCCUCUUGGUGAUAUCAACUCAAAAUUGUAAAAUCCAUAUAGAUAGGAUGUGAUAUUAGUCUGUUCCCAUACUCGAUCGCAGUUCAUAAUCAAUUACAAAAUAAGAAAAACUUGAAAGGUAGGAUUUUUAAAGAAUUCUAAUUGACUUGAUAGGUAGGAAUUGAACAUACGCCGUUUUUUAUCUGAUAUACUUUGGCAACUACAACAUAAGCCACAAAAUUAUGAUCCCUUCAAUAUUAGGUAUGAUUUAUCUCUAUUACCCCAAACACUAUCAGUCGAAAAAGGCUUAGCCUCUUGGGAAAAUCAACUCAAAAUUGUAAAAUCCAAAUAGGUAGGGGUGAUACUAAACUGUUCCCAUUCACGAUACUUCAGCAACUACAACAUAAACCGCAAUAAUAUGAACCCUUCAAUAAUAGGUAUGAUUUAUCUCUAUUACCCCAGUAAUAAUCAGUCGAAAGGGCUUAUCAUCUCGGUAAAAUCAACUCAAAAUUGUAAAAUCCAUAUAGGUUGGAUGUGAUAUUUAACUGUUCCCAUACAUGAUCGCGUUUCAUAAUAAACUACAAAAUAAGAAAAACUUGAAAGGUAGGAUUUAUAAAAAAUUCUAAUUGACUUAAUAGGUAGGAAUUGAACUUACGCUGUUUUUUAUAUGGUAUACGUCGGCAACUACAACAUAAGCCACAAUAAAGAAUUCUAAUUGACUUAAUAGGUAGGAAUUGAACUUACGCCGUUUUUUAUAUGAUAUACUUCGGCAACUACAACAUGAGCCACAAUAAUA